UUUACAAAGCAACAGAUUCCCACCGCUUGUUUCGACAAAUGUGAAAUGUUGAAGCAUAAUUGCAGAAAGCGAUAUGCUCUUGGGCCAUUUUUCUUUUAGCAAGACAAAAUUUGACAAAUGUUAAAUGCUCAAGCAUACCUGCAGAAAACUAAACGCUCUUGGGCCAUUUUCUUUUACCAAUAAUUUUUUUCACAAACUUAAUCUCAAUUGGCAGUUUGGGUGGAAGGUAGAAAUCUGGAAGAGCAAAAGAAAUCGGAAUGGAAGCAAGGACUUUAAUUUUGGUGGGGCGUACUGGCAAUGGUAAGAGUUCAACUGGAAAUUCAAUCCUUGGGCGCAAUGUUUUUAAAGUAGGGUUCAGCUUUACAUCUGUUACAAAGGAGUGUCAACUGGAGCAAACUACUUGGAAAGAUGGCCGAAUCGUAAAUGUGAUUGACACUCCUGUAGAGAUGGCUCUUCAUCAAAUU
This is a long non-coding RNA of Cryptomeria japonica (Japanese cedar), 464 nucleotides long. RefSeq lists it as uncharacterized. The record is from RefSeq and is a predicted model, not a curated record. The transcript has 3 exons. Lineage: Eukaryota; Viridiplantae; Streptophyta; Pinopsida; Cupressales; Cupressaceae.